Molecule: non-coding RNA, 101 nt
Filed under: Shewanella denitrificans
Lineage: Bacteria; Pseudomonadati; Pseudomonadota; Gammaproteobacteria; Alteromonadales; Shewanellaceae
Also listed under: 1 other name
Description: TPP sequence
Rfam family: TPP riboswitch aptamer (THI element)
About the family: Vitamin B(1) in its active form thiamin pyrophosphate (TPP) is an essential coenzyme that is synthesised by coupling of pyrimidine and thiazole moieties in bacteria.
Source: RNAcentral
AACCUCUUGUCGGAGUGCCAUUUAUGGCUGAGACCGUUUAUUCGGGAUCCGUUGAACCUGAUCAGGCUAACACCUGCGAAGGAAACAAGCAUGAUAAUCUU